This 253-nucleotide ribosomal RNA is filed under the name uncultured bacterium. RNAcentral describes it as "partial 16S ribosomal RNA". It matches the Rfam family "Bacterial small subunit ribosomal RNA", at positions 524 to 776 of the family's 1533-position model. The record is from RNAcentral.
UACGGAGGGUGCAAGCGUUAUCCGGAUUCACUGGGUUUAAAGGGUGCGUAGGUGGGUUUGUAAGUCAGUGGUGAAAUCUCCGUGCUUAACAUGGAAACUGCCAUUAAUACUAUAGAUCUUGAAUUUUCUGGAGGAUAGCGGAAUAUGUCAUGUAGCGGUGAAAUGCUUAGAUAUGACAUAGAACACCUAUUGCGAAGGCAGCUUACUACGCAUAUAUUGACGCUGAGGCACGAAAGCGUGGGGAUCAAACAGG